Mauremys reevesii (Reeves's turtle) is the source of this 367-nucleotide long non-coding RNA. RefSeq lists it as uncharacterized. NCBI's taxonomy places the organism in Eukaryota, Metazoa, Chordata, Testudines, Geoemydidae. The record is from RefSeq and is a predicted model, not a curated record. The transcript has 3 exons.
AUCUAAUGGGCCUGCACAGGUGUAGCUGAGGACAUAUGGAUCUGAGGCUUGCAGAAUCUUUAUCACUAGUGGAAAGAUCUCAGCUUGACUCUUUGGAGCACAGGAAAGAAAAUAGCCCUGUUCAUAGGCCUCACAGAAGGAUUUGGACAAGAUAAGGAAAGAGAAACGGUCUAGAGCACUGGGACUGAAAUCUUAUUCCAAGCAUGGAGGGCAGCAUGGAAAAAAGCGUAGAGUGAGAGAAGUCAAAAGGAUGUGAAAGGGCGAUGCCACAGCAUAGCAUUGGGAGUUCAUAUGCAGUUGAUUACCCACCAUGACCCCGGAGUCCAUUUCAGAGUCAUUGCUUUCCAGGACACUAUGUUCCAUCCUG